AUUGAACGCUGGCGGCAGGCCUAACACAUGCAGGUCGAGCGGAUGAAGGGAGCUUGCUCCUGGAUUCAGCGGCGGACGGGUGGGUAAUGCCUAGGAAUCUGCCUGGUAGUGGGGGAUAACGUCCGGAAACGGGCGCUAAUACCGCAUACGUCCUGAGGGAGAAGGUGGGGGAUCUUCGGACCUCACGCUAUCAGAUGAGCCUAGGUCGGAUUAGCUAGUUGGUGGGGUAAAGGCCUACCAAGGCGACGAUCCGUAACUGGUCUGAGAGGAUGAUCAGUCACACUGGAACUGAGACACGGUCCAGACUCCUACGGGAGGCAGCAGUGGGGAAUAUUGGACAAUGGGCGAAAGCCUGAUCCAGCCAUGCCGCGUGUGUGAAGAAGGUCUUCGGAUUGUAAAGCACUUUAAGUUGGGAGGAAGGGCAGUAAGUUAAUACCUUGCUGUUUUGACGUUACCAACAGAAUAAGCACCGGCUAACUUCGUG
Molecule: ribosomal RNA, 484 nt
Filed under: uncultured bacterium
Lineage: Bacteria
Description: partial 16S ribosomal RNA
Rfam family: Bacterial small subunit ribosomal RNA
Source: RNAcentral